CACGUAGGGUGCGAGCGUUGUCCGGAAUUAUUGGGCGUAAAGAGCUCGUAGGCGGUGUGUCGCGUCGGCCGUGAAAACCUGCAGCUUAACUGUGGGCUUGCGGUCGAUACGGGCAUCACUGGAGUUCGGCAGGGGAGACUGGAAUUCCUGGUGUAGCGGUGAAAUGCGUAGAGAUCCGGAGGAACACCAGUGGCGAAGGCGGGUCUCUGGGCAGUAACUGACGCUGAGGAGCGAAAGCGUGGGGAGCGAACAGG
Molecule: ribosomal RNA, 254 nt
Filed under: uncultured bacterium
Lineage: Bacteria
Description: partial 16S ribosomal RNA
Rfam family: Bacterial small subunit ribosomal RNA
Source: RNAcentral